Molecule: ribosomal RNA, 256 nt
Filed under: uncultured bacterium
Lineage: Bacteria
Description: partial 16S ribosomal RNA
Rfam family: Bacterial small subunit ribosomal RNA
Source: RNAcentral
UACAGAGGUCCCAAGCGUUGUUCGGAUUCACUGGGCGUAAAGGGUGCGUAGACGGCAUGAUAAGUUAUUGGCGGGAAAUCGAGGCUCAACCUCGUGGAAACUGAUAAUACUGUUUUGCUUGAGUACAGGAGAGGUUAACGGAACUCCAUGUGGAGCGGUAAAAUGUGUAGAUAUAUGGAAGAACAUCAAUAACGGCGAAGGCAGUUAACUAUUCUGUUACUGACGUUGAGGCACGAAAGCGUGGGGAGCAAAACGG